This 178-nucleotide long non-coding RNA is filed under the name Cavia porcellus (domestic guinea pig). Its description in RNAcentral is "FTX transcript, XIST regulator conserved region 5 (ENSCPOG00000038965.1)". It matches the Rfam family "FTX transcript, XIST regulator conserved region 5". The record is from RNAcentral. Lineage: Eukaryota; Metazoa; Chordata; Mammalia; Rodentia; Caviidae.
ACCUGAGUCAAAUGUGGCGACGAUUCUUAGAGCCGGAAGUCCCAAAGCAGUGUGGAGAGAGCGACGGAACAAACAGAACUGUCUGGAUGGCAGCAGCAGAUAGAAAAAUCUGCGGUGUCUCUAGCCACAGCACUGAAGCCACAGCACUGAAGCCAAAGCCCGCCAACUUUUGGCUGCG